Molecule: ribosomal RNA, 378 nt
Filed under: uncultured bacterium
Lineage: Bacteria
Description: bacterial SSU rRNA
Rfam family: Bacterial small subunit ribosomal RNA
Source: RNAcentral
GACGAACGCUGGCGGCGUGCUUAACACAUGCAAGUCGAGCGGUAAGGCCCUUUCGGGGGUACACGAGCGGCGAACGGGUGAGUAACACGUGGGUGACCUGCCCUCAGCUCUGGGAUAAGCCUGGGAAACCGGGUCUAAUACUGGAUAUGACUCCAUGACGCAUGUUGUGGGGUGAAAGCCUUGUGCGGCUGAGGAUGGGCCCGCGGCCUAUCAGCUUGUUGGUGGGGUGAUGGCCUACCAAGGCGACGACGGGUAGCCGGCCUGAGAGGGCGACCGGCCACACUGGGACUGAGAAACGGCCCAGACCCCUACGGGAGGCAGCAGUGGGGAAUCUUGCGCAAUGGCCUAACGGCUGACGCAGCGACGCCGCGUGAGGGA